Molecule: ribosomal RNA, 882 nt
Filed under: Morganella morganii
Lineage: Bacteria; Pseudomonadati; Pseudomonadota; Gammaproteobacteria; Enterobacterales; Morganellaceae
Description: partial 23S ribosomal RNA
Rfam family: Bacterial large subunit ribosomal RNA
Source: RNAcentral
CGAGUCUUAACUGGGCGAAUUAGUUGCAGGGUAUAGACCCGAAACCCGGUGAUCUAGCCAUGGGCAGGUUGAAGGUUGGGUAACACUAACUGGAGGACCGAACCGACUAAUGUUGAAAAAUUAGCGGAUGACUUGUGGCUGGGGGUGAAAGGCCAAUCAAACCGGGAGAUAGCUGGUUCUCCCCGAAAGCUAUUUAGGUAGCGCCUCGUGAACUCAUCUCCGGGGGUAGAGCACUGUUUCGGCUAGGGGGUCAUCCCGACUUACCAACCCGAUGCAAACUGCGAAUACCGGAGAAUGUUAUCACGGGAGACACACGGCGGGUGCUAACGUUCGUCGUGAAGAGGGAAACAACCCAGACCGCCGGCUAAGGUCCCAAAGUCAUAAUUAAGUGGGAAACGAAGUGGGAAGGCUCAGACAGCCAGGAUGUUGGCUUAGAAGCAGCCAUCAUUUAAAGAAAGCGUAAUAGCUCACUGGUCGAGUCGGCCUGCGCGGAAGAUGUAACGGGGCUAAAUUAUGCACCGAAGCCGCGGCAGCGAUAUGUAAAUAUUGUUGGGUAGGGGAGCGUUCUGUAAGCCUGUGAAGGUGACCUGUGAGGGUUGCUGGAGGUAUCAGAAGUGCGAAUGCUGACAUAAGUAACGAUAAUGCGGGUGAAAAACCCGCACGCCGGAAGACCAAGGGUUCCUGUCCAACGUUAAUCGGGGCAGGGUGAGUCGACCCCUAAGGCGAGGCUGAAAAGCGUAGUCGAUGGGCAACGGGUUAAUAUUCCCGUACUGGUGGUAACUGCGAAGGGGGGACGGAGAAAGCUAAAUCAUCCGGGCGACGGUUGUCCCGGUUUAAGCGUGCAGGUGGACUGACCAGGCAAAUCCGGUCGGUUGUUAACAC